This 1233-nucleotide ribosomal RNA is filed under the name metagenome. RNAcentral's name for it is "bacterial LSU rRNA". It matches the Rfam family "Bacterial large subunit ribosomal RNA", at positions 1718 to 2925 of the family's 2925-position model. The record is from RNAcentral.
AAAAUUGAUACCGUAACUUCGGAAGAAGGUAUGCCUUUUUUGGUCACUGGACUUGCUCCAGGAAGCUGAAGAAGGCCGCAGGUAAUCGGGGGCUGCGACUGUUUACCAAAAACACAGGACUCUGCGAACACGUAAGUGGAUGUAUAGGGUCUGACGCCUGCCCGGUGCUGGAAGGUUAAUUGAUGGGGUCAGCCGCAAGGCGAAGCUCUUGAUCGAAGCCCCAGUAAACGGCGGCCGUAACGAUAACGGUCCUAAGGUAGCGAAAUUCCUUGUCGGGUAAGUUCCGACCUGCACGAAUGGCGUAACGCUGGCCCCACUGUCUCGACCAGAGACUCAGUGAAGUUGAAAUCGCUGUGAAGAUGCGGCGUAGCUGCGGAAAGACGGAAAGACCCCGUGAACCUUUACUACAGCUUUACACUGAACUUUGAAUUUAUUUGUGUAGGAUAGGUGGGAGCCUUUGAAGCAGGGGCGCUAGCUCUUGUGGAGGCAACCUUGAAAUACCACCCUGAUAACUUCGGAGUUCUAACCUAGAUCCGUAAUCCGGAUUGGGAACACUGUAUGGUGGGUAGUUUGACUGGGGCGGUCUCCUCCCAAAGAGUAACGGAGGAGUGCAAAGGUACCCUCAGCGCGGUCGGUCAUCGCGCUUUUGAGUGCAAUGGCAUAAGGGUGCUUGACUGCGAGACGUACAUGUCGAGCAGGAACGAAAGUUGGUCAUAGUGAUCCGGUGGUUCUGUAUGGAAGGGCCAUCGCUCAACGGAUAAAAGGUACUCCGGGGAUAACAGGCUUAUUCCUCCCAAGAGUCCACAUCGACGGAGGAGUUUGGCACCUCGAUGUCGGCUCAUCACAUCCUGGGGCUGUAGCAGGUCCCAAGGGUUCGGCUGUUCGCCGAUUAAAGUGGUACGCGAGCUGGGUUCAAAACGUCGUGAGACAGUUUGGUCCCUAUCUUCCGUAGCCGUUGGAGAUUUGAGGGUGAGUUGCUCCUAGUACGAGAGGACCGGAGUGAAUGUAUCUCUGGUGUUCCGGUUGUCACGCCAGUGGCACUGCCGGGUAGCUAUAUACAGACGGGAUAACCGCUGAAAGCAUCUAAGCGGGAAGCCCCCCCCAAGACGAGAUCUCCCUGAGGACUUGAUCCUCCUAAAGGGCCCAAGAAGACUACUUGGUUGAUAGGCUGGGUGUGUACGCGUAGCAAUACGCUUAGCUAACCAGUACUAAUUGCCCGUGAGGCUUGAUCAA